Long non-coding RNA from Harmonia axyridis, 1107 nucleotides. RefSeq lists it as uncharacterized. The record is from RefSeq and is a predicted model, not a curated record. NCBI's taxonomy places the organism in Eukaryota, Metazoa, Arthropoda, Insecta, Coleoptera, Coccinellidae. The transcript has 3 exons.
UCUCGUGAAAGACCCUGUAUACUGACAGAGUAUAUUAACCUGUACGUGAUACUCAAUUAAUUUUACAUUCUAAAACUGUUCUGCAAAGAAAGGAAACAAAAUUUAUAAAAUCUAAAAAAGUACAAGUGAAGAAUUGGAUGCUUCGAACCCAUAUACUACCAUCCACCACCAUAUGAAAGGACUCGAAGUACAGGAAGUCUCAUUCGGUAUUCCAAGCCAAUGCCAGGAUUUUGUUGUCUCUAAUCGGGUAAGUGUGCGUCUUAUUUGGUUUAAUAUCGUCAUCAUAGGGUAUAAUUGUCAUGUUUCGGGUAAUUUCAUUUUUUGUUUAUCACGUUGCUAAUGAUAGAUCUGGUUUCACCAUUAAGCCACAUUUUUAAACGUUUCUUGAAUAGUCUAAUACUUUGUUCUUCCUUUAGGUGUUAAGGGAAUAUGUUGAAAAUUUUUGGGGCCAAGUAGGCAUGGCUUCUCUGUCCCACACUUUUACUACAUCUUUGUGCUUGGUAUCUUACCCAACUUGAUGUCCAUAAUGAGUUUCAGAGCAUAUAAUUGCCUUACAUCGUGUACUCCUGCCAAUUCAAAUAGUUGUUGACUAAAAAGACUACGGAAGUGUUAUCAUCAAUUUGAAGGGUUCCCAUGUUCGGCAGGCCAGGAGAAUAGGAGGUAAAAACCAUGUACUUUGUUUUAACGACAUUUAAGGUGAGUUUAUUGUUUUUGAACCACUUGCUUAUUUCAGCAAAAUCACUUUCGGCUUUUUGCUUCAGUCCUUUCCAUGUAUCGGCCUGAUACUGAAAAACUGCAUCGUCAGCAAAACAUAUAGCAUCUUUAGAUUCCUUCAGUUUUAGUAAUCCAUUUAUAUAAAUAAGAAAGAGGACUGGCCCGAGGACUGUUCCUUGUGGAACACCAUAUGUAAGAGUUUCCUCCGAGCUCCUAAUCCCUCCAACUUCCACAAUCUGUUUCCUGUUUGUCAAAUAACUUUUUAGGAUACCAUAUAUUGGUCCUCUAAACCCGUAUUUUCUCAUCUUUUCAAGUAGACGGGUAUGACAGACCGUGUCAAACGCUUUACACAAGUCCACAAAUAUACACAGUGAAGGAAUUUUUUUGUCUAGA